GCAAGUCGAACGGAAACGAUGAGAGCCUGCUCUCAGGCGUCGAGUGGCGGACGGGUGAGUAAUACUUAGGAAUCUGCCCAAUAGUGGGGGACAACUCGAGGAAACUCGAGCUAAUACCGCAUACGACCUACGGGUGAAAGUGGAGGAUCUUCGGACUUCACGCUAUUGGAUGAGCCUAAGUCGGAUUAGCUUGUUGGUGGGGUAAAGGCCUACCAAGGCGACGAUCCGUAGCUGGUCUGAGAGGACGAUC
RNAcentral lists this ribosomal RNA (250 nucleotides) under uncultured bacterium. RNAcentral's name for it is "partial 16S ribosomal RNA". It matches the Rfam family "Bacterial small subunit ribosomal RNA", at positions 57 to 305 of the family's 1533-position model. The record is from RNAcentral.